AAUUGUUAUUUUUGCUCACGAAAACUUGUACUUUUAGUUAUUUGGUUAAAUAAUUAUUAUCGUAAGAAAAAGUAACAAUUCAUAUGAAAAAAUGUAAUGAUUCAAAAAUAUUAUCACACAAUAAAUAUAUUGUGGGAAAAAAAUAGUAGAAUUAAAAAAAAAGAACAAAAGAAAAGAUGAUGAAGAAAAAAAAAAGAAAAAAAAUUCAAACACAUCACAUAAAUAAAUAAAAUGCAGAAAAAUGAUAAAGAGAGAAAAAAAAAGGGUUAAGUAUCAAAUAUGCGUCUAGGACCCUAUGGUCGAUGUCGGUUCAACUAAACCCCUGAAAUCCUUAAUUUCGUGCAAUUAGCCC
This 352-nucleotide long non-coding RNA is filed under the name Salvia miltiorrhiza (redroot sage). RNAcentral's name for it is "long non-coding RNA (SMIL_LNC004087)". Lineage: Eukaryota; Viridiplantae; Streptophyta; Magnoliopsida; Lamiales; Lamiaceae. The record is from RNAcentral.